UAAGGAAUAUUGGUCAAUGGACGCAAGUCUGAACCAGCCAUGCCGCGUGGAGGAUUAAGGCCCUCUGGGUUGUAAACUCCUUUUAUCUGGGAAGAAAUGUACUUUUUCUUGAGUACUUGACGGUACCAGAGGAAUAAGCACCGGCUAACUCCGUGCCAGCAGCCGCGGUAAUACGGAGGGUGCAAGCGUUAUCCGGAUUCACUGGGUUUAAAGGGUGCGUAGGUGGGCAGGUAAGUCAGUGGUGAAAUCUCCGGGCUUAACCCGGAAACUGCCGUUGAUACUAUUUGUCUUGAAUAUUGUGGAGGUAAGCGGAAUAUGUCAUGUAGCGGUGAAAUGCUUAGAUAUGACAUAGAACACCAAUUGCGAAGGCAGCUUACUACAUAUAAAUUGACGCUGAGGCACGAAAGCGUAGGGAUCAAACA
Molecule: ribosomal RNA, 422 nt
Filed under: uncultured bacterium
Lineage: Bacteria
Description: bacterial SSU rRNA
Rfam family: Bacterial small subunit ribosomal RNA
Source: RNAcentral